This 253-nucleotide ribosomal RNA is filed under the name uncultured bacterium. Its description in RNAcentral is "partial 16S ribosomal RNA". It matches the Rfam family "Bacterial small subunit ribosomal RNA", at positions 524 to 776 of the family's 1533-position model. The record is from RNAcentral.
UACGGAGGGCGCAAGCGUUGUUCGGAAUCAUUGGGCGUAAAGCGCGUGUAGGCGGCCAGGUAAGUCGGGUGUGAAAGCCCGGGGCCCAACCCCGGAACUGCAUUCGAUACUGCUUGGCUCGAGUCCCGGAGAGGAAGGCGGAAUUCCCGGUGUAGAGGUGAAAUUCGUAGAUAUCGGGAGGAACAUCAGUGGCGCAGGCGGCCUUCUGGACGGUGACUGACGCUGAGACGCGAAAGCGUGGGGAGCAAACAGG